AAGGAUUUAAGUUAAGCUCAAACUAAUAGCCUUCAAAGCUAUAAAUAGAAAGGUCUCUAAGCCUUA
Molecule: transfer RNA, 66 nt
Filed under: Cucujoidea sp. 12 KM-2017
Lineage: Eukaryota; Metazoa; Arthropoda; Insecta; Coleoptera
Description: tRNA-Trp
Source: RNAcentral